RNAcentral lists this unclassified non-coding RNA (339 nucleotides) under soil metagenome. Its description in RNAcentral is "partial contains 5.8S ribosomal RNA, internal transcribed spacer 2, and large subunit ribosomal RNA". The stretch from base 1 to 120 matches the Rfam family "5.8S ribosomal RNA", at positions 35 to 154 of the family's 154-position model. The record is from RNAcentral.
GAUGAAGAACGCAGCGAAAUGCGAUACGUAGUGUGAAUUGCAGAAUUCAGUGAAUCAUAGAAUCUUUGAACGCACAUUGCACCUCUCGGUAUUCCGGGAGGUAUGCCUGUUCGAGCGUCAUUUGUACCCUCAAGCUCUGCUUGGUGUUGGGUGUUUGUUCCGCCUCUGUGUGUGAACUCGCCUCAAAACAAUUGGCAGCCGGCGUACUUGUUUCGGAGCGCAGCACAUUUUGCGAUCCAGAUCAACGUACAGCGGCAUCCAAGAAGCCUUAUUUAACGCUCUUGACCUCGGAUCAGGUAGGGAUACCCGCUGAACUUAAGCAUAUCAAUAAGCGGAGGA